UGGAAGGUGGCUGAGGAAGUCGAAUACUUUCAGAGAAUGUCUUUGCCAGCUUGUGUUUCUUAUCAGAUGGAAAAUAUUUUUGGAGAAACAGCAUCAGCUGGAUGCACAACGAAAGCGCCUUUCUCCAGGCUCAAAAGAGUACCAGAAUGUUCAUGAAGAAGUCUUACAAGAAUAUCAGAAGAUCAAGCAGUCCAGUCCCAAUUACCAUGAAGAAAAGUACAGAUGCGAGUAUCUUCAUAACCAGCUGGCUCACAUCAAAAGACUAAUAGGUGAAUUUGACCAACAGCAAGCAGAGUCAUGGCACUAGAACUCUGCUUGGACCAGAAGAUGUGAAUAAAACUUAAACUUAUUUAUUUAAAA
Mesocricetus auratus (golden hamster) is the source of this 360-nucleotide long non-coding RNA. RefSeq lists it as uncharacterized. The transcript is spliced from 2 exons. The record is from RefSeq and is a predicted model, not a curated record. Lineage: Eukaryota; Metazoa; Chordata; Mammalia; Rodentia; Cricetidae.